UUCAAUUUGCGUUACGGUUACACUUUUGUUUUCAUUUAUACGCGGACCUGUUUGGAUACAUCUAGAAUUUGGAUUUAUAAAAAAAAAAACAUAAAAUCAGUGAAAGAUGAAGGUAGCUUUGGUGAUUGCUGCAUUCUGCAUUGUUGCAUGUCUCGGUGAAAACAAAACCGAUAUACGUGAAAAAAGACAAACAAAAGGACGCUUUUUGUCACUUCCUGUUCCACAAAAGUGCGCUACCCGUAAGUUUUUUUAUUCAAUAAUAAUAGCAAACACUUUGUGAUUUUGUUGAAGAUCGAUAAAAAUUCGAAAGAUACAAAUCGUCUAACCUUGUCUGUGUUGAU
Contarinia nasturtii (swede midge) is the source of this 341-nucleotide long non-coding RNA. RefSeq lists it as uncharacterized. NCBI's taxonomy places the organism in Eukaryota, Metazoa, Arthropoda, Insecta, Diptera, Cecidomyiidae. The transcript has 3 exons. The record is from RefSeq and is a predicted model, not a curated record.